UUUUAUAAAGUUCAGAAUGAUUAGUGUGAUGCAUGUUGUGUGUUUUUAAAAUCUGUUUAUGUUGCCCUAUUUGUCAUUGUUAAAUAAUGUUAUUUUAAAACUUCACUAUUUUCUAGUCGUGUGUUGUAACACAGAAUGCAUAUCCUCAAUGUUUGGUUGAUAAAAUUUGCGUAGCUAAUAUCUGAAGGGAAAUCGCAAAAUACAAUCAAGAUAAACAAAUCGGAAAUUAAAAUUCAAGCCUUCGAUUGUUCGUUGUAAAUAUUCAUGAAUCAAGGAUUAUGCGAAUUACCAGUUGUAGCUCAGACCCUUUACCGACGAGAACUGAGACGAAUCUCCAACGUUGUUCAACCAACAAAAUCUCUAUGUAGUCCCAUGAAGGCUGAAGUUCCUAACUAAAUGAUAAUCUCCAAAUAUAUUCAAGAUUUCCACUGCAUUUUCUUAAUUAGAAAGUUAAUCUCCAAAAUAAACAUUACCCAAAUUCAAAGUUUACUUACCAUUUCAAAAUCAGUUUAUGAUCCUUAAGAAAUGAUCUGAAGCCUUGUGUAGGUUUGGACAAGGAAAACCACCUUUAGCAAAAAACUGCAGAAUCAAUUGUCACUAUGUAUCAUAUAACUUGAGUAUAAUAUAACUUAAAAGUAUAUGAUCGAAUAAUGUUAAAGUGGAACACAUAAAGUUGGUACAAUAUUAAUAUGAUAAAAAAAAACUAUUAAUUUGAAAGAAUCCUAUAUUUAAUAAUUCAUAAGGAUUUUGGUUACCUGAUUUACAUUAAAUUAGUCCCUUGUGUUAACAGAAAUCCAUAUAACCUGUGAAAGAAAUUAAUAAAUACAUAUGAAUCUACACUAUUUUUUGAAGGUGCAAAAAACAUAAGAGAGGGGUUUCAAUUGUGUUGGUCUCUUUUUAUGAUUGGAUAAAAAUAAUGUUGAAAAUAAAGAGAUAAGGGAUGAGAGAUGACACAAUAUAUAUAUUUAUUUUGGUUCACCCAUAAACUGAGAUUACGUUCAGUCCCCUUGCACUUUUCAAAGGAUUCUUCCACAUUAAUAAAAUCCUGAUUACAGCAACAACACCAAGACAGCUAGCCCUAGAUUUCCUUUACCUCAACCUAGAGGACUUUCUAAAGGGGGAGCUUUCGCGCAACCGGUAAAAUUGUUAUCAUGUGAUUGAAAGGUCAUGAAUUCAAGUCGUAGAAACAACCAAUGUAAAUAAAAGAAGGUACGGACGUGUACAAUACACCAAAUGGUUGAUGGAACUUUUUCCAAACUCUGCGCAUGCGGGAGCUUUAGUGCACUAGACUGUUUUUUUUUUAACCUAUCCUAAUUUUAAUCGAGAGAUUUACAAAAAAAUAUUACAACAUAUGUGUUUAUACAAACUAUAAUAGUAAAUAAAUUUACACAAAAAUUAAACACAAUACAUUAUAAGUGUAUCUCUGUUGGUUUUCUUUGACUUUUUCUAAUACAAGAUGUACAAUAUAAACAAGAUAAAAACAGAGUGCAGUAUAUUGUAUGUGUUUACAGGUUCAUAACCUACUUCAAUCAGAACUUGUCCUAUAUAUAGAUAAAGCUUCAUGAACGUUAGUGAAGAAUCUAUUGUCUUUGAAUAACUAAUUAAAUGCACAGAUUAUCUUGAUUACGUGCACUCUGCAAACCAUAUAUCCAUUCAUUUUUAUUAAUGAUGCUCUUAAUGAAUUUUCUUAGCAAAGAAUCCUUGCAUGCAUCAGUGACAUGUACUUAAUUCAGACACUUGGUACAAGGAAUCUCAAUCCAGAGGUUUGAAUCACAUAGUGUUAACUUCCACAAGUUCGACCUUGAUCUUGAUACAGAGCUAUGUCCUUAUAUAUGACAUAAAGCUUCACUUCAAGGUUUAGAGCGUUGACCAAAGUUCAUAGAGUUGACUUGGUCGAAAGACAGAAUUUCGUUUACUUAGAAUUUUCUACAACUUAAAACCACAUUUUUGAGUAUCCUUAUUGUUCUCAUAUGCAAUUAUUUUUCACUUAGAUGAUAUAAAAAUCUGUAGGGGUGAAUAUAAAAAAGUAACACAUAAAAAAAUAAAUAAAAAAUAAAAUAAAGGGUUAAAUAUGUUUUUGAUCGCCAUAAAAUUAGGACUUUCAAAGUUUAGUCCUCACUUAAUUUUAAUAGUUUUUUUAGUCUCUAUUAAAAACUUCUGCACUCAGUUUUAGUCCCUAGUAAAUUCAAACUUGUUUAAUUAUGCUUAUACUCUCAAGUUUUUGAACAACUUUUUUCAGAUGUGUUAAGAACAUUACUAAAAGUUCAGGCAAAUGGAUAUAUAAGGUUAAGCAUAAUGUUGAUGGCUCCAUAGAGAGGUAUAAAACAAGGUUGGUUGCCAAAGAAUACACAUUUUGACACUUACGCUUCUGUUGCUAAGUUAACCACUUGUUAUUGCUCUAGCUUCAAUCAACAACUAGUUUUUACAUUAGCUAGAUGUAAACAAUGCAUUUUUGCAUGGAGAACUUGAUUAUCGUACCUUAGCACUACCAGACCUGAUAUAACUUUCAUCACCCAACAACUGAGCCAAUAUCUUUAUGAUCCCACCAUUACUCAUCACAAUGUAGCCUUAAGAAUUCUCAGAUACUUAAAAGGUUCUCCUAGCAAGGGUUUAUUCUUUCCCAUAAAUUAUUCCAUCACUCUCCAAGGUUUCUUACAUGCAGAUUGGGCUGAAUGUCUUGGUACAAGGAUAUCUAUAUCUGGUCAAUGUUUCUUGUUAGGACAUUCCCACAUUUCUUGGAGAACCAAGAAACAAAUCAUUGUUUCUAGAUCCUCAUCUAUAGCAGAAUAUAGGGCUUUAACAUCAUCUACUUGUGAACUCCAAUGUCUCCUUUAUCUUCUUCAAGAUCUUUCGUUACUUAUUUCAAGCUUCAUGUCUUAUACUGUGAUAAUCAAAGUGCACUUAAUAUAGCUGUAAACCCUGUAUUUCAUGAGAGGACCAAACACUUCGAGAUUGACUGUCAUAUAAUCAUAGAAAAAUUGCAAGCUGGCAUCUUGAAGUUUCUCACAGUUUCUUCUCAAGACAAAUUGCAGUUUUCACCAAAUCACUCCUACGUCUUAAAUUAUUUUAAUUUUUCAACCGAAACAUAAAAAGUUACAAUUUUACUCCGAGUAAAUAUAUAUUCAGGGGUCAAAUACUCUUCCCUAACCUAGGAUGGAGUAUAUUUUUACGUGAAUGUGUUUAAUGAUGUGUCUGAAUAGGACCAUACGAAUACUGACUUUUCCAUUCAUGAAAAUGUAUACAGUGGACUUCUAAAAUUUAUUUUGUUGGUUAGAGUAAAUUUCAGAGUAGAACCAUAAAUGUUCAUAAAUACUUAUGCUAGUUAUAGUGAAUGAUGAAAACUAUUCGAUAGUGCACGUAGACACAUUCACGUAAAAUCAAACACUUAUAACAAUCUCAGUCGUUCAUUGACAUCAUGCAUUAUAACAAUCUCAGUCAUUCAUUGACAUCAUGCGGUUGAAGUUUUAACUGCGUCAACCACUUAUAAUAAAUUUCCUAGAAUCACCAAAAAUCAUUGUGUUUUUGAAAAAACUAAUCUUUAUUUUAUUUUGCUAACGAGUGUACUUCUCUUUAAGGAUAUUUAAUUAAAAAAGUAUUCACUAAAAAAAGUUUAAUAAUUAAAUUUCAGGUGCAUUUAAUGCAUAAAUUUUCAUAAAAAUUUAUCUAAAGUUCUUAAAGAGUGCAAUUCGAACAUUCAUUAGUAGUUACCUUCUUUAAAAGAUCUACGAUAUUACAGUGUUAUCGUGAUUUUGACAAAUCUAUUGAUUGUAGGGAAAUAAUAGAUACAAUGACAAAAUGUAUCAAGAAAAUUUCUACGAUACUACAUCCCUUGAUUUCCGGCAAAUAACAAAUUUAAUUGACUGAGAUAUUUUCUUGAUAAAAACUCUCUAGAUAAAUAACAAUGCUCUUUCCUUAAAAGAAAAAUGCUCUUGAUUACUAAAUAUGUUUUGCGAGUUUACACUCAUGAAAAUAGAAAAAAAAAAACUAAGGAUGAGCAAACAUUGUAAAUAGGUUAGAUUAAAAACAAGCAGUUGUCAAAUCUUACAUUCAAAAGUUUUGUCAAAAAUAAAAUAAAAUCUUUCAUUCAAGUUUUAAUAAAGGGAAAUACUAAUAAUUAAUGUCCUUGGAGCACUUGUUUAGAAGCUGAAAGAAGAAAUUUAUAUUUGCGAAUUGUGUAUUUAACACAUUGAUUAGCACUUGUCUAAGAAAACUUGUUAGCGUAACACUUUAAUACACAAUUUAUGUUUGUUAGCAUAAACCUCAUUGCCUCUUUUGAACACAAAAAAAUGUAUCAAAGGCUUAAUAGUUAACAUGUGUGAAACAAAGGCUUAAUAACUAUAGAAAUAUAGAGAAUUUGUAAUAAAUUGACAAAGAUAAAGAAUUCCUAGGAAUUUCUUAAUAAAGACUAGAAUAAAUUAUCUAAUAUAAGAUGGAAUACAUAACCCUUUUUAUAUAUCCAAAGUGUAGGUAGAUAGAGAAUUAACCGAAAAUAAACCAAAUUGAAUACCGGUAUUAGAAAAGAACCAAGGAUAACACUAACUUAUCAUAAACACUAAAGAUAAAAUGAAUAUCAUUAAACACAAAUGGAAAAUAAAAUGAUUGAACAUAUAUCAAUGAGCAUUCUUAACUUCAAAAAACUGAUAAUGUUUAUAUCAAAUUCAUCUUUUACUAACUUUGACUUUGAAUCCAUGUUCCAUGCGGAGAACAAUAGAAACUCUUGGAGUUACAGAAUGACCUUCCACAACUUGUAUGUGAAACUUCCAUAACAUAGCAGCUGCAACCAUUUUCAUUUGAACAAUGCUAAUAUCUUUCCCAAGACAACUUCGAGGACCUGCAUUAAAUGCUAUGAACUUGCAAGAUGGUACAUGCAAAAUAUGUCCUUUAUCUGAUAUCCAUCUCUCGGGCUUAAAUUCGAAGCGAUCCUUACCCCAUAUUUGUUUCAUCCUUCCCAUUGCAUACAAAGAGUAUAUUAACUUAGUAUUUGGUUUAACAUAAUCUCCACUAGGUAGUAUAUCAGCUUUGAUUGCACACUUGUGCUGAAAUGGUACAGGAGGAUAAAGCCUCAAUGCUUCACAUAUAGCUCCAUGAAGGUACACUAGUUUAUUAAGCUUUUCAACUCUUAAAUUAGUGACCAAAUUAUCCUCAUGUGAUAGACAAUUAUCUUUUAUCUCUUGAAUUAUUUUAGCUUCCACUAUGAAAUGAGUUGAAACAAGCCAAGAGAACCAACUUAGACCUGAACUAACUGUUCCACUUCCUGCAGCUAAGAGAUUGAAUGCAGUGUCUCUAAUAUACUUAUCAAUUUCAACCAUUUCCUCAUUUCCCAAGCCUUCCUUCAUCAGUGCCUUUAGCAAGUAAAAAUGGCUUUCAUCAAAAUCUUCACCGUUUCGCAAUCUUCUUCUCUCUUCAUCACCUUUGGAAUAAUAAGUUAUACAUUUGGACAAGAAUUGGUGAAGAUUUUCUUGAGCUACCUUGUACUUCUUCUCUUGACCAAUUUGUAGCCAUUUUUGUAACUUCCAAAAGUAUUUUGGAAUAUAGUGCCUAGACAAUAUUGUAUCCUCAAUAAUCGAAAUAGCUUUUACAUGAGCAAUCUCUGGUAAUUCAUUGAACUUGUAAGGAAGGAACCUAGGAUCAAAUCCAAACAACAAAAUGCAUGUAAUAUCAAAGGUAAACCUCUCAAGAAUAUCUUGUAAAUCAAGUACCUGUACACUUUUGGAUGCAUGAUCAAGAAAUCGUAAUAGGAAAUUCUCUAGCUUCUUUUGAAUGUUUUGUUGAAAGGAUAUCUCAAAACUUUUCCCUUUGAGCAAUGAAUGAAGUAGUGUCCUCUCUUGUUUCCAUUCUUCGAAAUCCAAAUUUAAAAUACCAACACCUAAAACAUCAAAAAUUUCAUGGAAAUCAGUUCCUUUCCCAUAGUUGCUAAAAUUCUUGCUAGUGAUGUGAUGCACAUUCAAAUGAUCACUGGUGAGGAUAAAAUUGGCAAUGUUUGUGAACCAAGGUCCUUUAAAAUGAAAAGUGCCUCUACAAAGUUUCAAUCCUAAAGUUACAAAAUCAUGAAGAUUGGAUUGAUUAUGCAAAACGAAUGGUAGCAUGCCAAUUAUUGGCCAAUUUGUUACAAGUACAUUUUGGUUGCGUCUCCAUAUAUAGUAAAAUAUGACUAGUAGAAUUGCUACAAAUAAUGUAAUAUACUGAAACAAAGUCAUUGCUCUUAGACUAGGAAUUUGUGAUUCAAAUUUUUCCUUGUGAGUGAUAUCUUCAAGAAGAGUAUAUGGGUAUAAAUACUAACAUUCAAGCAUGUGUUUCAAUUUGUGUGUAUGAUAGGAUAUUCAGAAUAAGGAGCAUUAAUGUGGUGACUCGGCUAGUUCUAGAAGUUAUUAUGACUCACCUUAAUCUAGACGAUCUAGAAGGUAUAUUGUUAGGGGAUAAUAUCGAGUAUGUUAGGGAGUCUAUAUAAGUAUUGUAUGCCUUAUUAUGAGAAUGAAUGAAAAAAUACAAUGAAUUUAUUUUCUUUUAUCUUUAACCUCUCUCGAAAUUCUGGAGUGUGAUACCUAUUCGAAUUGGGUCGUAUAAGUGUAUUAUAUGAUGUAUUAUAUGAUGAAUAGUAUAAGAUAGACUUAAUGCAUUUUGAGUCUCCUUGUUAUCACAAAUCCACAGUUUUAAUCAUCUUAUUUUUAAUUAAGAAAUUUUGGUCUUUUGAUUUUAAAUUUUUUAGACAAUUUGACCGGUUACUAAUUUUGAACAACAUUUUGAUGAUUUGUCGGUUUUUUUAUAACUGCUCACAUGAAUAAGAUGUUUAUGUGACGAUCACACAUAAUUUAUAAUUUUAAAAUAACUCAACGAUAUGAUUUGCUCAUCUGAGAAUCUAGAAAUAGUUCAACGCUUCAUGAUGCUGUUGUGAGGACUUUGGAACAAUAGAAACGAUAUGAUUUGGAACCAAAAACAUUUAGUUGCACAUGAUAUAUGCUUGAAUGUUAACUGGUUUUGGCAGAAGUGGUAUGCGGUCCAGGAUUUGCGUAACAAUGGCAGACAACAAGCUGAUAUUGACUUUAAUAUGAGGUGGCAAAUUCCAGAAUAUGGCAGACUUAUGUGUAAUGUCGAUGCUAGUUUCCACCGAGCUUCGGACAAAACCGGGAUAGGUUGUUGUGUUCGUAACAAUGCAGGUAUAUUUGUUUCAGCAUUAACCUCUUGGACGCGACCGGAACUGUCUCCACAUGAGGGUGAGACACUGGGGUUGUGGCAAGCUAUGUCUUGGGCUUUUAGUAGCGGCUUCCAAAAUGUGAUAUUUGAAACAGACUCCAAGAUGCUUGUGGAUGCUGUUCAUUCAGAUAGUGCAGGUAUUCCUAAAUUUUAUGUCAUUGUUUCUAAGAUUAGAGGUUUGUUAGCAUUACAUUACAACUUUGAGGUAAAGUUUGUUCGACGUCAAGCAAAUAUGGUUGCUCAUACCUUAGCAAAGGCAACCAUUUCAAAUGUUAAUCGUCAUGUUUAUGAUUAUGCUCCUCUUUGUAUUCAAUAUUAUUUAAGAAAUGAUAUGAGCUGAGUUUUGUUUGUUUAAAAAAAAAAAAAAAAAACUCAACAUAUUUAUGUAUAGAAAUUAAACUAUUUUUAAAGGAUUUAAUUUGUAUUCACCACAAGAAUCAUCAUAACUCAGCCUCUAGGAAGUGCCACGGUCACGACCAUCUCCGUCGUGGACCUUUCCUCUCCUCAUGCAUCGUCUUGUCUUGUUAGGGAAUGAUUUUUUGGCUUAAAGACAGUUUUGGUCAUUCUAUUUUGAUGAAAUCCUAAUUUUAGUCUACCUAUUAUUUUAGCAAAACCGAAGUUUGGAUCUCCUGUUUCAUAAAUUUUUACUAUCGAUUUGAUGAUUUGCAAAAAAAAAAAAGGUGACAUUGCAUUAAAAAAAUAGGUAAGUGAAAGUCAUGUCAUAUUUAUAUGCAUUUUAAAUGAAAAAAAAAGGUACUAAAUAUUGAAAUGAAUAAAAGGUUUUUUUUUCUUCACCGUUUAUUGCUGGACCGGUUGCGUCCAAUCCAUUAUGGUUAAACUCACCAACAUAAGAAAACAAUUCAGAUUGAAAUGUCAUUUUCUAACUUUAAAAACAUAUAAAUAUCAUAUGACUUUCACUUGUCCUUUUGUUCUAAUGUCAUGUCAUUUAAUUUAUUGUCACAUCAGAUUGAAAUGUUAAAAUUAUGUGUUGGUAGAAAUUUAUGGAUCAAGGGUCUAAAUUUACAAUUUUGCUAAAAUAAAUGGAUCAAAAUUACACAAUUAAAAUUAAUGAGAAAAAAAUGGAGGUUUUGUUAAAUAGUGGGACCAAAAUUACAAUUAAAUCUUUUUAACUGUCUUUCUACAUAUUUCUAACCAAUUUUGUAUAUUUACGAAGCAUCAUAUGAUAUUGCAAAAUGUAUUUUAAGUCAUAUAAAAAUUAAAAAUUAUAUACAUUGGUGACCGGGAUACCACCAAAGUUUUUACUAAGGCGAGAUUCCACGUAACAUCCUAUCCAUGUCCACAUCACUAUAAAAAUGACACAUCAUUAAAAUAUGGUCAUGAUGAUUGAACUUUUUUUUAAGAUAAAUUAUUGAAAUUCUUAAACUCAAUCAUAAAAAUUGCUUAAUUAAGUCCGUCAUUAAGACCACCGGUGAGAUACACGCGAAAUACGUGCAAGAUCAUCAUUAAGACCAUCAUAUUUGCCGACGAUCGAUGAACUGAUCGGAUUAACCAACCAAAGUUAGCCACAACCAUUAUAUAUUGAACAAAAGCAAAAGCCUCCGUAACGGUCGGAUGAUAAUAAAAAGUCAUAGCAAAACUCGUCGCUACUUGGACUAAAAAACAAGCAAGUGUAAUUCCUCCUAAACAAUAAAAUAUAUUGACAUGAGGAGGAACAUAUUUACUAGUUAUAUCAUCGGCAAUCGCCUGAAUCUCAAGACGUUCUUCGAACCAAUCAUAUACUUUAUUGAGAUAGGUAAACCAAAGGACCCCCCCGAGAACCGUAUAUGAGAAUUUCAUCUCGUAUGACUCAAACAAAAAUACUAGUAAUUUGGAAAACGGAUAUGUGGAAUAGAAAGUUUUAAACUUCUUAACUUAAUCCUAUGAUUCCAAUCUUUUUUGUAAAUAAAAAAUGGAAAUCCAAAAGGUAUUAUUUGUGUUUAUAAUGCCCAAAAUUUCAAGUCGGCUCGCUCGUCUUUUCUCUUGAUCCUUACCGGCCUCUUGAAUAUUCUAUUAUUCACCU
This 9211-nucleotide long non-coding RNA is filed under the name Medicago truncatula (barrel medic). RNAcentral's name for it is "long non-coding RNA (MTRU_LNC001019)". Lineage: Eukaryota; Viridiplantae; Streptophyta; Magnoliopsida; Fabales; Fabaceae. The record is from RNAcentral.